This 468-nucleotide ribosomal RNA is filed under the name uncultured bacterium. Its description in RNAcentral is "partial 16S ribosomal RNA". It matches the Rfam family "Bacterial small subunit ribosomal RNA", at positions 28 to 507 of the family's 1533-position model. The record is from RNAcentral.
GACGAACGCUGGCGGCGUGCUUAACACAUGCAAGUCGAACGGAAAGGCCCUGCUUUUGUGGGGUGCUCGAGUGGCGAACGGGUGAUUAACACGUGAGUAACCUGCCCUUGACUUUGGGAUAACUUCAGGAAACUGGGGCUAAUACCGGAUAGGAGCUCCUGCUGCAUGGUUGGGGUUGGAAAGUUUCGGCGGUUGGGGAUGGACUCGCGGCUUAUCAGCUUGUUGGUGGGGUAGUGGCUUACCAAGGCUUUGACGGGUAGCCGGCCUGAGAGGGUGACCGGCCACAUUGGGACUGAGAUACGGCCCAGACUCCUACGGGAGGCAGCAGUGGGGAAUAUGGCACAAUGGGCGGAAGCCUGAUGCAGCAACGCCGCGUGCGGGAUGACGGCCUUCGGGUUGUAAACCGCUUUCGCCUGUGACGAAGCGUGAGUGACGGUAAUGGGUAAAGAAGCACCGGCUAACUACGUG